RNAcentral lists this ribosomal RNA (468 nucleotides) under uncultured bacterium. Its description in RNAcentral is "partial 16S ribosomal RNA". It matches the Rfam family "Bacterial small subunit ribosomal RNA", at positions 28 to 507 of the family's 1533-position model. The record is from RNAcentral.
GACGAACGCUGGCGGCGUGCUUAACACAUGCAAGUCGAACGGAAAGGCCCUGCUUGCAGGGUGCUCGAGUGGCGAACGGGUGAGUAACACGUGGGUGAUCUGCCCCUUACUUUGGAAUAGCCUUGGAAACCUGGUUUUAUUCUUGUUUGGACCAUUCCUGUGGUUGUGUUGUUGGAAGGUUUGUUUUGGUAAGGGAUUAGGUCGCGGCCUACCCGCUUGUUGGUGGGGUAAUGGCCUACCAAGGCGUCGACGGGUAGCCGGCCUGAGAGGGUGGACGGCCACAUUGGGACUGAGAUACGGCCCAGACUCCUACGGGAGGCAGCAGUGGGGAAUAUUGCACAAUGGGCGAAAGCCUGAUGCAGCGACGCAGCGUGGGGGAUGACGGCCUUCGGGUUGUAAACUCCUUUCAGCCAUGACGAAGCCCUUGUGGUGACGGUAGUGGUAGAAGAAGCACCGGCUAACUACGUG